Molecule: ribosomal RNA, 430 nt
Filed under: uncultured bacterium
Lineage: Bacteria
Description: bacterial SSU rRNA
Rfam family: Archaeal small subunit ribosomal RNA
Source: RNAcentral
GCGCGAAAACUCUCCAAUGUGCGAAAGCGUGAGAGGGGAAUUCCUAGUGCUUACGGUUUAUCCGUAGGCUUUUGCCAUGUGUAAAUAGCAUGGCGAAUAAGUGGUGGGCAAGACUGGUGCCAGCCGCCGCGGUAACACCAGCGCCACGAGUGGCCACCGCGAUUAUUGGGCCUAAAGCGUCCGUAGUCUGCCUCGUACAUCCUCUGUGAAAUCGCUGCGCUCAACGUAGCGGCACGCGGGGGACACGGCGAGGCUUGAGAGCGGGAGGCGUGAAGAGUACUCUUGGGGGACCGGUAAAAUGGUAUAAUCCCAAGAAGACUACCUGUGGCGAAGGCGCUUCACGAGAACGCAUCUGACGAUGAGGCACGAAAGCGUGGGGAGCAAACAGGAUUAGAUCCCCGUAGUCCCUGAGCGGGCUGGCAAGGCGCAU